This 358-nucleotide ribosomal RNA is filed under the name Ianthella basta. RNAcentral describes it as "eukaryotic LSU rRNA". It matches the Rfam family "Eukaryotic large subunit ribosomal RNA", at positions 1 to 350 of the family's 3401-position model. The record is from RNAcentral. Lineage: Eukaryota; Metazoa; Porifera; Demospongiae; Verongiida; Ianthellidae.
GGGUCUCAGGUCAGGCGAGACAACCCGCUGAAUUUAAGCAUAUUAAUAAGCGGAGGAGAAGAAACUAACCAGGAUUCCCCCAGUAGCGGCGAGUGAAGCGGGAAAAGCCCGAGCCUGGAAUCUCCGAUGCAUUGCAUCGGCGAAUUGUAGUCUGGAGAAGGGCCAUCCCCGAGGCGGUCCUCCCAAUGUUGCCGAGGAAAGGCGCGCCGGAGAGGGUGAUAGCCCCGUGCACGGGAACGACCGGCCGAGGGAAAUGAGGCCACUUUGGAGAGUCGGGUUGUUUGGGAAUGCAGCCCAAAGAGGGUGGUAAACUCCAUCUAAGGCUAAAUACUGGCACAAGACCGAUAGCGAACAAGUA